GGGUUGUGAGGUUAAGCGACUAAGCGUACACGGUGGAUGCCCUGGCAGUCAGAGGCGAUGAAGGACGUGCUAAUCUGCGAAAAGCGCCGGCGAGGUGAUAUGAACCUUUGACCCGGCGAUGUCCGAAUGGGGAAACCCAGUGUGUUCCGACACACUAUCGUUAACUGAAUACAUAGGUUAACGAGGCGAACCGGGGGAACUGAAACAUCUAAGUACCCCGAGGAAAAGAAAUCAACCGAGAUUCCCCCAGUAGCGGCGAGCGAACGGGGAGCAGCCCAGAGUCUGAAUCAGCUUGUGUGUUAGUGGAAGCGUCUGGAAAGUCGCACGGUACAGGGUGACAGUCCCGUACACGAAAGCACACAGGUUGUGAACUCGAAGAGUAGGGCGGGACACGUGGUAUCCUGUCUGAAUAUGGGGGGACCAUCCUCCAAGGCUAAAUACUCCUGACUGACCGAUAGUGAACCAGUACCGUGAGGGAAAGGCGAAAAGAACCCCGGCGAGGGGAGUGAAAAAGAACCUGAAACCGUGUACGUACAAGCAGUGGGAGCACCUUCGUGGUGUGACUGCGUACCUUUUGUAUAAUGGGUCAGCGACUUAUAUUCUGUAGCAAGGUUAACCGUAUAGGGGAGCCGAAGGGAAACCGAGUCUUAACUGGGCGUUAAGUUGCAGGGUAUAGACCCGAAACCCGGUGAUCUAGCCAUGGGCAGGUUGAAGGUUGGGUAACACUAACUGGAGGACCGAACCGACUAAUGUUGAAAAAUUAGCGGAUGACUUGUGGCUGGGGGUGAAAGGCCAAUCAAACCGGGAGAUAGCUGGUUCUCCCCGAAAGCUAUUUAGGUAGCGCCUCGUGAACUCAUCUUCGGGGGUAGAGCACUGUUUCGGCUAGGGGGCCAUCCCGGCUUACCAACCCGAUGCAAACUACGAAUACCGAAGAAUGUUAUCACGGGAGACACACGGCGGGUGCUAACGUCCGUCGUGAAGAGGGAAACAACCCAGACCGCCAGCUAAGGUCCCAAAGUCAUGGUUAAGUGGGAAACGAUGUGGGAAGGCACAGACAGCCAGGAUGUUGGCUUAGAAGCAGCCAUCAUUUAAAGAAAGCGUAAUAGCUCACUGGUCGAGUCGGCCUGCGCGGAAGAUGUAACGGGGCUAAACCAUGCACCGAAGCUGCGGCAGCGACACUAUGUGUUGUUGGGUAGGGGAGCGUUCUGUAAGCCGUUGAAGGUGUGCUGUGAGGCAUGCUGGAGGUAUCAGAAGUGCGAAUGCUGACAUAAGUAACGAUAAAGCGGGUGAAAAGCCCGCUCGCCGGAAGACCAAGGGUUCCUGUCCAACGUUAAUCGGGGCAGGGUGAGUCGACCCCUAAGGCGAGGCCGAAAGGCGUAGUCGAUGGGAAACAGGUUAAUAUUCCUGUACUUGGUGUUACUGCGAAGGGGGGACGGAGAAGGCUAUGUUAGCCGGGCGACGGUUGUCCCGGUUUAAGCAUGUAGGCGGAACGAUUAGGUAAAUCCGGUCGUUUUUUAACGCUGAGGUGUGAUGACGAGGCACUACGGUGCUGAAGUAACAAAUGCCCUGCUUCCAGGAAAAGCCUCUAAGCAUCAGGUAACAUCAAAUCGUACCCCAAACCGACACAGGUGGUCAGGUAGAGAAUACCAAGGCGCUUGAGAGAACUCGGGUGAAGGAACUAGGCAAAAUGGUGCCGUAACUUCGGGAGAAGGCACGCUGAUAUGUAGGUGAAGCCCCUGCGGGUGGAGCUGAAAUCAGUCGAAGAUACCAGCUGGCUGCAACUGUUUAUUAAAAACACAGCACUGUGCAAACACGAAAGUGGACGUAUACGGUGUGACGCCUGCCCGGUGCCGGAAGGUUAAUUGAUGGGGUUAGCGGCAACGCGAAGCUCUUGAUCGAAGCCCCGGUAAACGGCGGCCGUAACUAUAACGGUCCUAAGGUAGCGAAAUUCCUUGUCGGGUAAGUUCCGACCUGCACGAAUGGCGUAAUGAUGGCCAGGCUGUCUCCACCCGAGACUCAGUGAAAUUGAACUCGCUGUGAAGAUGCAGUGUACCCGCGGCAAGACGGAAAGACCCCGUGAACCUUUACUAUAGCUUGACACUGAACACUGGUCCUUGAUGUGUAGGAUAGGUGGGAGGCUUUGAAGCGUGGACGCCAGUCUGCGUGGAGCCGUCCUUGAAAUACCACCCUUUAAUGGCUGGUGUUCUAACGUAGACCCGUGAUCCGGGUUGCGGACAGUGUCUGGUGGGUAGUUUGACUGGGGCGGUCUCCUCCCAAAGAGUAACGGAGGAGCACGAAGGUUAGCUAAUCCUGGUCGGACAUCAGGAGGUUAGUGCAAUGGCAUAAGCUAGCUUGACUGCGAGAGUGACGGCUCGAGCAGGUGCGAAAGCAGGUCAUAGUGAUCCGGUGGUUCUGAAUGGAAGGGCCAUCGCUCAACGGAUAAAAGGUACUCCGGGGAUAACAGGCUGAUACCGCCCAAGAGUUCAUAUCGACGGCGGUGUUUGGCACCUCGAUGUCGGCUCAUCACAUCCUGGGGCUGAAGUAGGUCCCAAGGGUAUGGCUGUUCGCCAUUUAAAGUGGUACGCGAGCUGGGUUUAGAACGUCGUGAGACAGUUCGGUCCCUAUCUGCCGUGGGCGCUGGAGAAUUGAGGGGGGCUGCUCCUAGUACGAGAGGACCGGAGUGGACGCAUCACUGGUGUUCGGGUUGUCAUGCCAAUGGCACUGCCCGGUAGCUAAAUGCGGAAAAGAUAAGUGCUGAAAGCAUCUAAGCACGAAACUUGCCCCGAGAUGAGUUCUCCCUGAGACUUUAAGUCUCCUGAAGGAACGUUGAAGACGACGACGUUGAUAGGUCGGGUGUGUAAGCGCAGCGAUGCGUUGAGCUAACCGAUACUAAUGAACCGUGAGGCUUAACCUUACAACGCCGAAGGUGUUU
This 2932-nucleotide ribosomal RNA is filed under the name Enterobacter roggenkampii. RNAcentral describes it as "bacterial LSU rRNA". It matches the Rfam family "Bacterial large subunit ribosomal RNA". The record is from RNAcentral. Lineage: Bacteria; Pseudomonadati; Pseudomonadota; Gammaproteobacteria; Enterobacterales; Enterobacteriaceae.